Molecule: ribosomal RNA, 486 nt
Filed under: uncultured bacterium
Lineage: Bacteria
Description: partial 16S ribosomal RNA
Rfam family: Bacterial small subunit ribosomal RNA
Source: RNAcentral
GAUGAACGCUGGCGGCGUGCCUAAUACAUGCAAGUCGAACGCUGGAAAUCUAGCUUGCUAGAUUGAAGGAGUGGCGAACGGGUGAGUAAUACAUAAGCAACCUACCCACGAAGACUGGGAUAAUCUCUGGAAACGGGGACUAAUACCGGAUAGGUAAUCGGAAGGCAUCUUCUGAUUAUUAAAGGUUAAAAACACUGGUGGAUGGGCUUAUGGCGCAUUAGUUAGUUGGUGAGGUAACGGCCCACCAAGACGAUGAUGCGUAGCCGGCCUGAGAGGGUGAACGGCCACAUUGGGACUGAGACACGGCCCAGACUCCUACGGGAGGCAGCAGUAGGGAAUUGUAGGCAAUGGGGGAAAACCUGACCGAGCAACGCCGCGUGAGUGAUGACGGCCUUCGGGUUGUAAAGCUCUGUUGUAAGGGAAGAACGGUAGAUAGAGAAUAUCUAAAUGACGGUACCUUAACAGAAAGCCACGGCUAACUACGUG